RNAcentral lists this long non-coding RNA (2262 nucleotides) under Sorghum bicolor (sorghum). RNAcentral's name for it is "long non-coding RNA (SBIC_LNC008902)". The record is from RNAcentral. Lineage: Eukaryota; Viridiplantae; Streptophyta; Magnoliopsida; Poales; Poaceae.
AAUGCUCAAAUCUGGAUGUUUUUUUGUGAAAAAAGCUAAUUGGCAUAGCACCUCAAUUAUGAUGCUCUCUGUUACCACAUUUGAGCAUUUGGUAAAUGCAAUAUUGAGUUUUAGUGGGUUACAGGUAUAUUUGAUACAAUGACUUGAGCAGCUUAGGAUGUAUUGUUUGUGCAUAUUCUAGAAUUUUUAUGUCCUCUGAAAGGUUGGUACAGAAAUAUCACGAUAACCAAGCUUGGAGUGUUCUUUUUUAUUCCAAAAUUAUUUUCUCUUUUGUACAACCUGCCUAGAAGUUAUGCGUCCUAGAAAGCUCAAAAUAGUAGGCUGAAGUUCCAUUAUUCAGCUUGGAUAAUUUUAAAUCACCCCCAUUUGCUAAUUGACAAAGCUAUUAUGGCCUAGUUAAAUUUGAUGCUAAUGAAGCAAUUACAUUUUUUUCAUUCCAUACAUUAGUUGUGCUUGAGGUCGACUAAUUGAUAAUCCUGGGAAAUUGAACUUUGCCAUAUGGGGUUGUGUUUCGCUGAAAUCGAGCUUCACUACCUUUUAGAUUGAAUUCAUUUGCUACCAAAAAAACUACAAAGGAGCUGUUUGUCAAUAUUCAGAUUUUACAGUGCUUAGUUCUGCGUACUUCCUGAUUACUUGUAGGCUGUUACCAUACUAAUGAAUAAGUUAGCUUCCAUUUUUUGCAAUUCUACUCCAUAUGUAUGUAAACUGUCAUGCUUAGACCAACUAGAACAUUAACUAAAACUUCUUGUCUUACUCAACAAAUAGAAUCUGCUCUGGUUACAUUGAGUAGAACUGUGAUGAUAUGAAACUAGCUGCUGCUUUACCAUGUCCUUUUUUCAGAUAACAAAACCAUGUGCUAUACUAUGAGCUAGCUAUUGCAGUAAAGCAAACUAAGGGGGUGUUUGAGACAGCUCUGCUUCCAUUUUUUCAGCUCCCCUCCAGCUCUGCAGUGCCAAACACGUCCAACUCCAAAAACUCGGCUCCCCAAAAAAGGUGGAGCUAGAGGCCAACUUAUUUUAGAUUCUGUACAUAUAUUUUUUUGUCUCUAGUGUAAUCUGAAUACCGUACAUCUAUUUUUUGUUUCAAGGAUGAGGAAGCUAGCUGGGUGAUGGCCACGCUGUUGAGGGCUCACUCUGUCUGCCUGUUACCACAAGUGCAGUUUUCAGUAUGGUUCUGUUGGUGGGCGCUGCCUACUGAUGCCUGUACAUCUCCCUUGGGUAAGGAAGCAAAUGACUCUGUGCAAGUAUGAUUUAUGUUUGUUCAAGCAUCUUGAAUGGUUAAAUUACUAAUUUGUAAGCUCCUGCAUUCAUGUCCCUGCUUAUAUUACCUCAAGACUGAACAAUUUCUUGUAGUAUACUUUUUAAUUAGUCAGUGCAGUUUAGGACUUAGUAGCUGCAGAUCUAGGUGAUUCCGUGCAUAGCUUGGUAGUUGCAAUAGACGCUUUCAGAUUUCAUUUUUGGUCACUUCGGUAGCAGCAAGAGAACUGGGAAGCUGCCUUUGGUAAUUGUAGUUACUACAGUGAAUGUACCAUGUUCUGGAUGCAUGUGCUUGCUUAGUUGUUCAAUAUUCAAGUUUAUCCAAAUUAAUCAAAUAACUACUAAUCUUUCUUUCUUAGUGCGUGUAUUGGCUGUAGUGGCAGUAGUAAAGCAGCAUGUUAAAUGCUUCUGUGAGCUAGCAUUAUAUAUACUCUACUGAAAUUUAACAGUGUCAAUGCUAUAUAGGCUACAAAAAACUUGCAAUGUCAAUUUUGGAAUACUAGAUCUGCAGUAUGACAAGUUAAUGACAACUAGUGACAUUAGAUUAAUUAUCAGUGCGAGUACUAUGUUUGUUUCUUAAUUUCAUCAUGAACAUGUACGAACCAUGAGAUUUGUAUGGUGUUCUGACUUGAUUCCUUGUUCAAUGUUAGGUAUAUUCGAUGACAGUUUUGAUUGAUAUAGGUGGCCAUUCCUGGACAGCAAGCAUAGCGCGCAAAUGUUAGAUUAGCUAAUUCUAGAAUCUACCCCCUCCUGAUGUGUUUAACACAACUUUUUGUAACCUGCUUGAUGUGUCGGGUGAAUUGUUUUGGUUUAUGGAAUGACAAUGGGAUGUGAGCUAUAUUAUGUAUGGUUGUUGAUGUAAGAAGCAUACUACAUUUAUAAACCUUGAUGCUUGGAGAACCUAUUCUGUCAGAAUGUCUAGUUAUUGACUUUAUUAUGUAAUUAAUUAUAUGGUUUAUUAUUUAUGAUGAUUUUCAAAUGUGCCAGCCCAUAAUAUAAGCUUGGA